This 494-nucleotide ribosomal RNA is filed under the name uncultured bacterium. RNAcentral's name for it is "partial 16S ribosomal RNA". It matches the Rfam family "Bacterial small subunit ribosomal RNA", at positions 28 to 507 of the family's 1533-position model. The record is from RNAcentral.
GACGAACGCUGGCGGCGUGCUUAACACAUGCAAGUCGAACGGAAAGGCCUGCUUUCCCUUGUGGAUUGCGGGUACUCGAGUGGCGAACGGGUGAGUAACACGUGAGUGAUCUGCCCCCAACUUGGGUAUAAGCCUGGGAAACUGGGUCUAAUUCCCGAUAGGACUGCAGGGUGGUGCCUGUGGUGGAAAACGAUUUUCUAGUGGUUGGGGAUGAGCUCGCGGCCUAUCAGCUUGUUGGUGGGGUAAUGGCCUACCAAGGCGGCGACGGGUAGCCGGCGUGAGAGGGUGGACGGCCACAUUGGGACUGAGAUACGGCCCAGACUCCUACGGGAGGCAGCAGUGGGGAAUAUUGCACAAUGGGCGGAAGCCUGAUGCAGCGACGCCGCGUGGGGGAUGACGGCCUUCGGGUUGUAAACUCCUUUCGACCGCGAGGAAGCCACCUGGUUGGAAGGGUGGUGACGGUAGUGGUAGAAGAAGCACCGGCUAACUACGUG